UCCCCGUUCACCGGGGCAGUCCCCUCAGAGUGCCCGGCAUGACCUGGUAGCAACAGAGGGCGAGCGCAACCCUUAUCAUUAGUUGCCAACACGCGAAGAACCUUACCAAGGCUUGACAUUGCCCGGAAACACUCAGAGAUGGGUGCCUCUUCGGAUCGGGUGACAGGUGGUGCAUGGCUGUCGUCAGCUCGUGUCGUGAGAUGUUGGGUUAAGUCCCGCAACGAGCGCAACCCUUGUUCAAUGUUGCCAGCAACACCUUCGGGUGGUUGGGGACUCAUUGGAGACUGCCGGGGUCAACUCGGAGGAAGGUGGGGAUGACGUAAAGGAACACCAAC
RNAcentral lists this unclassified non-coding RNA (335 nucleotides) under uncultured Streptosporangiaceae bacterium. RNAcentral's name for it is "contains 16S-23S intergenic spacer region". The stretch from base 81 to 335 matches the Rfam family "Bacterial small subunit ribosomal RNA", at positions 949 to 1199 of the family's 1533-position model. The record is from RNAcentral. Lineage: Bacteria; Bacillati; Actinomycetota; Actinomycetes; Streptosporangiales; Streptosporangiaceae.